RNAcentral lists this transfer RNA (64 nucleotides) under Ranacris albicornis. RNAcentral's name for it is "tRNA-Gly". It matches the Rfam family "tRNA". From Rfam's summary of the family: Transfer RNA (tRNA) molecules are approximately 80 nucleotides in length. Lineage: Eukaryota; Metazoa; Arthropoda; Insecta; Orthoptera; Acrididae. The record is from RNAcentral.
GUUUUUAUAGUAUAUUAGUACAUUUGACUUCCAAUCAAAAAGAUUGAUUUUUUCAAUAAAAACA